AUCCAUGUGACGAGUCCCGAAUAGGACGAAACGCGCGUCUUGGAU
Molecule: non-coding RNA, 45 nt
Filed under: Schistosoma mansoni
Lineage: Eukaryota; Metazoa; Platyhelminthes; Trematoda; Strigeidida; Schistosomatidae
Source: RNAcentral